ACGGGGUGCAGCAGGCGCGAAAACUUUACAAUGCGAGAAAUCGCGAUAAGGGAAAUCCGAGUGUCAGCACAUGUGCUGACUGUCCAGAAGUCUAAAACACUUCUGAUAGCAAGUACCGGGCAAGACCGGUGCCAGCCGCCGCGGUAAUACCGGCGGUACGAGUGGUAAUCACUAUUAUUGGGUUUAAAGAGUCCGUAGCCGGUUUAUUAAAUCCCAUGGGAAAUCUGGUGGCUUAACCAUCAGGCUUCUAUGGGAGACUGGUAAACUUGGGACCGGGGGAGGAUGGAGGUACUUCAGGGGUAGGAGUGAAAUCUUGUAAUCCUUGGAGGACCAUCGGUGGCGAAGGCGUCCAUCUAUAACGGAUCCGACGGUGAGGGACGAAAGCUAGGGUCACGAACCGGAUUAGAUACCCGGGUAGUCCUAGCCGUAAACGAUGCAGACUAAGUGUCAGAUACAGUGCGACUGUAUCUGGUGCCGUAGGGAAACCGUAAAGUCUGCCACCUGGGAAGUACGACCGCAAGGUUGAAACUUAAAGGAAUUGGCGGGGGAGCACUACAACGGGUGGAGCCUGCGGUUUAAUUGGAUUCAACGCCGGAAACCUUACCGAGAGCGACAGCAGAAUGAAGGUCAGGCUAAAGACCUUACUUGACUAGCUGAGAGGAGGUGCAUGGCCGUCGUCAGUUCGUACUGUGAAGCAUCCUGU
This 703-nucleotide ribosomal RNA is filed under the name uncultured archaeon. RNAcentral describes it as "bacterial SSU rRNA". It matches the Rfam family "Archaeal small subunit ribosomal RNA", at positions 325 to 1029 of the family's 1478-position model. The record is from RNAcentral.